RNAcentral lists this small RNA (79 nucleotides) under Epilithonimonas hominis. Its description in RNAcentral is "Chryseobacterium hominis Flavo-1 RNA". It matches the Rfam family "Flavo-1 RNA". The record is from RNAcentral. Lineage: Bacteria; Pseudomonadati; Bacteroidota; Flavobacteriia; Flavobacteriales; Weeksellaceae.
CCCUAGCCCCGAUAGAAACGGCAUCCUUUUUCUUUUUUUGCUAAAAAAGAAAAAGAUAUAGUGGAUAGCGGGAUUAAGC